AUGCAAGUCGAACGAUGAUGGGAGCUUGCUCCGGGGAUUAGUGGCGAACGGGUGAGUAACACGUGAGUAACCUGCCCUUAACUCUGGGAUAAGCCUGGGAAACUGGGUCUAAUACCGGAUAUGACUCCUCAUCGCAUGGUGGGGGGUGGAAAGCUUUAUUGUGGUUUUGGAUGGACUCGCGGCCUAUCAGCUUGUUGGUGAGGUAAUGGCUUACCAAGGCGACGACGGGUAGCCGGCCUGAGAGGGUGACCGGCCACACUGGGACUGAGACACGGCCCAGACUCCUACGGGAGGCAGCAGUGGGGAAUAUUGCACAAUGGGCGCAAGCCUGAUGCAGCGACGCCGCGUGAGGGAUGACGGCCUUCGGGUUGUAAACCUCUUUCAGUAGGGAAGAAGCGAAAGUGACGGUACCUGCAGAAGAAGCGCCGGCUAACUACGUGCCAGCAGCCGCGGUAAUACGUAGGGCGCAAGCGUUAUCCGGAAUUAUUGGGCGUAAAGAGCUCGUAGGCGGUUUGUCGCGUCUGCCGUGAAAGUCCGGGGCUCAACUCCGGAUCUGCGGUGGGUACGGGCAGACUAGAGUGAUGUAGGGGAGACUGGAAUUCCUGGUGUAGCGGUGAAAUGCGCAGAUAUCAGGAGGAACACCGAUGGCGAAGGCAGGUCUCUGGGCAUUAACUGACGCUGAGGAGCGAAAGCAUGGGGAGCGAACAGGAUUAGAUACCCUGGUAGUCCAUGCCGUAAACGUUGGGCACUAGGUGUGGGGGACAUUCCACGUUUUCCGCGCCGUAGCUAACGCAUUAAGUGCCCCGCCUGGGGAGUACGGCCGCAAGGCUAAAACUCAAGGAAUUGACGGGGGCCGCACAAGCGGCGGAGCAUGCGGAUUAUUCGAUGCACGCGAAGAACCUUACCAGGCUUGACAUGAACCGGUACGCUGGAGACAGUGCCCCGUUGCGGUCGGUUACAGUGGUGCAUGGUGUCGUCAGCUCGUGUCGUGAGAUGUUGGGUUAGUCCGCACGAGCGCACCUCGUCUAUGUGCAGCACGUGAUG
Molecule: ribosomal RNA, 1044 nt
Filed under: Pseudarthrobacter oxydans
Lineage: Bacteria; Bacillati; Actinomycetota; Actinomycetes; Micrococcales; Micrococcaceae
Also listed under: 1 other name
Description: bacterial SSU rRNA
Rfam family: Bacterial small subunit ribosomal RNA
Source: RNAcentral